GACUAAGCCACCCAGGCGCCCCUGGAGGAGGCAGAGAGAGAGGGAAUCCCAAGCAGCAUGGAUGCUCAGCUGGGACCCUGAGAGAGAAACAGAGACAGAUCAUGAGCAGGAG
Hyaena hyaena (striped hyena) is the source of this 112-nucleotide long non-coding RNA. RefSeq lists it as uncharacterized. The transcript has 3 exons. The record is from RefSeq and is a predicted model, not a curated record. Lineage: Eukaryota; Metazoa; Chordata; Mammalia; Carnivora; Hyaenidae.